Molecule: long non-coding RNA, 1540 nt
Filed under: Cricetulus griseus (Chinese hamster)
Lineage: Eukaryota; Metazoa; Chordata; Mammalia; Rodentia; Cricetidae
Description: lncRNA (ENSCGRG00000026453.1)
Source: RNAcentral
UAUUUAGCCAAAUAGAUCUUUCAGAAGUAGCACCUCCAUUGUUAAAAAGAACUAGAUACUUUUCCUGAGUGGCAUGAUAUUGUAAGCCACGAAUUGAGUUCAUCUCCUUGUAAUCAACUUCAUGUUACUAUAACAAGUACUCAGACAUACAACUUACAAAGAAAAUCAAUUUAUUUUGGAUUACAGCUUUGGCGGCUUCAAUCCAAGAUUCAUUGGCCAUGUUGCUUUGGGCCUAUGGUAAGGCAGUGCACCGUGGCAUAUGGUGUGGAAGAGCAAACUCUCUAACUUCAAGGCCAGGAAGAAAAGGAGAGGCAAGAAGAGAACAGGCUCCCACAAUUCCCUUUGUGUUUGCAUGACCAGUGACCAGAGGAUAUCCCAUUACGCCCCAACUCCUAGAGGCCCACCACCUCCCAGUGGCGCUGUGUUGUGGAUGAAGCAUUUUCCAUGUGAGCCUUUGGUGACAGUCCAGUUCAAGCACUAGCAACUGCUGUUAUGGCUGCAUGGAAUUGAGAGGUUGGCAGGACUAAGUCUGGGAGAUUCAGCCAGAAAAGUAGUGCUCAAGGGAAUGUGGAGCCCAAGGAAACCAUGAGGAGGUGUAAAGGUUGGAAGGGGUCCUCAGAACGGAGCCAGCCUUGCCCCCGAGGUCAGAACAGAGGACAGGACACAUCCUAGCACAGGUCUGUCUUCCAGAUGUGGGGUGUCGGGGGCAGGAAGGUGGAGAAAGACAGACUGACUAAGCUGACUCCAGAAGUGUCAGAUUGCAGUCAAGACAGCAGGCAAGUGAAUUGGUUUCAACAAAUAACCAGGGAAGACGGAGGGGCUCACCAGAAAGUUACAAGAAUCUCCCAAGCUGCCUGCAAGUUAUACGAGAACUCCCGUGAUCCAGGCUUUGAGAGGUUUCAGCUGCCCACACUGCUUUCACAAGCCUUCAGUGAGGGAAGUCAAGGCAGGAACUUGGAAAGACGAACAGAAGUAGAGGAACGCCACUUACUGGCACUGUAACCAAGAAAACGUACCACAGACUUGAUGGCGGCAAUUCCUCAGUGGAGGUUUCCUCUCCCCAGAUGACUCUAACUUGUGUCAGGGUGAUAAUAAAGCAACCAGCACAAAACUCUCCCAGCUUGGAAAGGCCUCUCUUCUCUCUCUGUCUUCACCUGGUGUUGUGUCCCUCUGAAUGUGUGUAAAUUUCUUCUUGUUUAAAAACACUUUGUGGUGGGGCGUAUGUGUAUACCACAGCACACAUGUGGACGCUAGAAGACAAUCUGUAGAUGUCAGUUCUCCCCUUCCCAGGAACCAAUCGUAGGUCAUCGGCCCUGGCAGUGAGUGCUUUACCUACUCAACAAUCUUGCCCACUCAGUUUCAUCUUACAGGUGCAUCAGGAGCUGGGCGGUGGUGGCACAAAGCUUUAAUCCCAGCACUUGGGAGGCAGAGGCAGGGUUCAGAUCCACUCUAAUGGCCUUGUUUUAACUCUAAAAGACACACCUCCCGGACCUGCCACUUUCUGAUAUAAUUGGAGCUAUGACUUCAACAUGAAUUCCAG